GUUCCUUAAAUGUCUGUGAUAUGUUCAUUUUGCGCUAAUAAAGAGCUGUGUCAAUUUGAUGGUAAAUCUGCCAUUCAAAAAAUCGAUUUAGAAAUUUAUGUAGAAACUAUAGAUCUAAUACGAAAAAAACUUUCAAUAACUUUUCUGUGUAGCCCAUGAACAAAAGAAAGAAAGUGUUGAUAAGGUAGGUUUUUUUUAAAGUCGUCUGACAAUUUUUGUACACCUUUUAGCACAGCAUGAACCAUUUUUUUUAUUUAUUUGGCAACACUGAAGUUCAAUUUAGUCUCCUUGACAUUGUUUAUAAAGUUUAUCUCGAAAAUCUCCAAAAAACAAAAGAAGAAAGAUAACAAAUCUAUGGGUGCAAUGUUCUCAAGAGACCAAAAUUGGAUUGUUAACCACUAACAGUUGUAGUUCAUCUUAAAGAACUCUUAUGACGAAAGAAUGAAGCAAUAUAGGACAAAAUUUCCUUUUCCACUUAUAUUUCCAAUUUUUGUUUUUCAUGACUUAGGACACUUUGAAGCAGAAGUGAGCUAAGUGUAAAUUGACAAUGCUAUCCACUAAGAGGCUCAACAUUACAAUAUUUCUGAGCAUUUUAUUUCUUGGAAAUACUUUUUUAAAUGUACUGAUUCAAGCACUUUUAAUGCAAGUUUAAGAAAAUAAUGCAUCUUCUGUGGAAAAUAAUUAUGCUGCUUGAUUUUUUUUUAUUACAUUUGAAUAUUACUUUUUAUUGGUUUUAAACUGAAAUUAAAUAAUUUUGUAAGUAAACAUAGAAUGAAUGCAAUUAACUUGGAUGAGGCUGAUCAUCUGGAGUUAUGUGGAUUGAUAAUUUAAUUUCUAAGCAAGUUUUGUUUUUAGUACAUUCAUACAAGCUCUUGAGCAAUUAAACUCUAAGACAAUAUGAAGUGAGAGACAACAGGAUUUGAAGAGUGCAGCAUGGACUCUGGUAGAAAUGUGAUAUGUAGCUGAUGGCUUCUAAACUUCAUGAAGCAUGCUCAGAGUGCUACAAUCCAAUCUCUUUUGUGGACCAGUGGGAGGAGGGGGCAUCUGAGAGAAGGUUUCAAUGCUGCCUUUAGGCGCUCAACUAAGAAGCUCAAGUCAAGAUUCAAACUCAAGCCCCACUUGAUA
This is a long non-coding RNA of Biomphalaria glabrata, 1125 nucleotides long. RefSeq lists it as uncharacterized. The transcript is spliced from 3 exons. NCBI's taxonomy places the organism in Eukaryota, Metazoa, Mollusca, Gastropoda, Planorbidae. The record is from RefSeq and is a predicted model, not a curated record.